GUCCGCACGGUAAACGAUGGACACCCGCUGUCGGCGAUAUACAGUCGGCGGCCAAGCGAAAGCGUUAAGUGUCCCACCUGGGGAGUACGCCGGCAACGGUGAAACUCAAAGGAAUUGACGGGGGCCCGCACAAGCGGAGGAACAUGUGGUUUAAUUCGAUGAUACGCGAGGAACCUUACCCGGGCUUGAACUGCGCCUGAAAUGUGCCGGAAACGGUGCAGCCGCAAGGCAGGCGCGGAGGUGCUGCAUGGUUGUCGU
This 258-nucleotide ribosomal RNA is filed under the name uncultured bacterium. Its description in RNAcentral is "partial 16S ribosomal RNA". It matches the Rfam family "Bacterial small subunit ribosomal RNA", at positions 793 to 1055 of the family's 1533-position model. The record is from RNAcentral.